This 76-nucleotide transfer RNA is filed under the name Nitrospira sp. RNAcentral describes it as "tRNA-Ala". It matches the Rfam family "tRNA". From Rfam's summary of the family: Transfer RNA (tRNA) molecules are approximately 80 nucleotides in length. Their secondary structure includes four short double-helical elements and three loops (D, anti-codon, and T loops). Further hydrogen bonds mediate the characteristic L-shaped molecular structure. tRNAs have two regions of fundamental functional importance: the anti-codon, which is responsible for specific mRNA codon recognition, and the 3' end, to which the tRNAs corresponding amino acid is attached (by aminoacyl-tRNA synthetases). tRNAs cope with the degeneracy of the genetic code in two manners: having more than one tRNA (with a specific anti-codon) for a particular amino acid; and 'wobble' base-pairing, i.e. permitting non-standard base-pairing at the 3rd anti-codon position. The record is from RNAcentral. Lineage: Bacteria; Pseudomonadati; Nitrospirota; Nitrospiria; Nitrospirales; Nitrospiraceae. RNAcentral also lists the same sequence under 9 other names.
GGGGCUUUAGCUCAGCUGGUAGAGCACCUGCUUUGCAAGCAGGGGGUCAACGGUUCGAACCCGUUAAGCUCCACCA